Molecule: ribosomal RNA, 452 nt
Filed under: uncultured bacterium
Lineage: Bacteria
Description: partial 16S ribosomal RNA
Rfam family: Bacterial small subunit ribosomal RNA
Source: RNAcentral
GAUGAACGCUGGCGGUGUGCCUAAUACAUGCAAGUCGAGCGGUAACACUUCGGGUGACGAGCGGCGGACGGCAGAGUAACGCGUAGGAACGUACCCCAAACAGAGGGAUAGCCCACCGAAAGGUGGAUUAAUACCGCAUAAUAUCUUCGGAUUAAAGCUACGGCGGUUUGGGAGCUGCCUGCGUAUGAUUAGCUAGUUGGUAGAGUAAUAGCCUACCAAGGCAAAGAUCAUUAGCUGGUCUGAGAGGAUGAGCAGCCUGACUGGAACUGAGAACGGUCCAGACUCCUACGGGAGGAAGCAGUAGGGAAUUUUCCGCAAUGGCCGAAAGCCUGACGGAGCAACACCGCGUGCAGGAGGAAGGCUUUCGGGUUGUAAACUGCUUUUAUCUGUGACGAUUAUGACGGUAGCAGAAGAAUAAGGAUCGGCUAAUUCCGUGCCAGCCGCCGCGGUAA